UUUCCUCCAUGAUAUUUUGCCUCCUUAAAAUUUUAGAAAUAUUUUCAGGAAUUUACAGCGUUAAUAGAGAGGACAAAAUGAUCAAAUUACCCUUUCUUCUUCUAUAAGAAAAAAUAAAAUUUUAAUAUAUUUUUAUUAUUUUUAAGAGUAUUUUCGAUAUAAAUUAUAAAAAAUAGGCGGAAUAAUAAUGGAAUCCUGACGGACGGUAGUUAAAUACAACAACUUGAAAUGUUGAGGGAAUAAAAUAUUGAUUCUUAAAAGUUAGGAAGACAAAGUGAAAAAGCGAAUAUUUAUAAGGAGAUUUUCUAUAUUUUAUAUUUUAGCCUUGUAUUUUUGUCGAAUUUGAAUUAAGGGAAAACUUCAAAAACCCCCCCUGUGGUUUCGUAGUUUCUCACUUUGUCCUCCUGUGAUUUAAAAUGUAUCAAUUUGCCCCCCUGUGGUUUCUUUUUUCUCUUUUUCUUAUCAGUUUCAUUAUUUUUUUUAAAAUCAGUAAUAAAGUUAAAAUUAAAGGAUACUAAAGUAAAUAUUUGAUAAAUCUAGAUGGGUAUCUGAAGUUUUUUGUAUAUAAUUUAAUAAAAUAUUAACGAAAAAGCUAUCGAAAAGAUAAAAACGAAACCACAGGGGGAUAAUUUGAUACAUUUUAAACCACAGG
RNAcentral lists this long non-coding RNA (652 nucleotides) under Ananas comosus (pineapple). RNAcentral describes it as "long non-coding RNA (ACOM_LNC013868)". The record is from RNAcentral. Lineage: Eukaryota; Viridiplantae; Streptophyta; Magnoliopsida; Poales; Bromeliaceae.